Molecule: ribosomal RNA, 807 nt
Filed under: uncultured bacterium
Lineage: Bacteria
Description: bacterial SSU rRNA
Rfam family: Bacterial small subunit ribosomal RNA
Source: RNAcentral
UUAGAGUUUGAUCCUGGCUCAGAUUGAACUCUGGCGGCAUGCCUUACACAUGCAAGUCGAACGGCAGCACGGACUUCGGUCUGGUGGCGAGUGGCGAACGGGUGAGUAAUACAUCGGAACGUGCCUAGUAGUGGGGGAUAACUACUCGAAAGAGUAGCUAAUACCGCAUGAGAUCUACGGAUGAAAGCAGGGGAUCGCAAGACCUUGUGCUACUGGAGCGGCCGAUGGCAGAUUAGGUAGUUGGUGGGAUAAAAGCUUACCAAGCCGACGAUCUGUAGCUGGUCUGAGAGGACGAUCAGCCACACUGGGACUGAGACACGGCCCAGACUCCUACGGGAGGCAGCAGUGGGGAAUUUUGGACAAUGGGCGCAAGCCUGAUCCAGCCAUACCGCGUGGGUGAAGAAGGCCUUCGGGUUGUAAAGCCCUUUUGUUGGGAAAGAAAAGCAGUCGGCUAAUACCCGAUUGUUCUGACGGUACCCAAAGAAUAAGCACCGGCUAACUUCGUGCCAGCAGCCGCGGUAAUACGAAGGGUGCAAGCGUUACUCGGAAUUACUGGGCGUAAAGCGUGCGUAGGUGGUUGGUUAAGUCUGUCGUGAAAGCCCUGGGCUCAACCUGGGAACUGCGAUGGAAACUGGUCAACUAGAGUGUGGUAGAGGGUAGCGGAAUUCCUGGUGUAGCAGUGAAAUGCGUAGAUAUCAGGAGGAACACCGGUGGCGAAGGCGGUUCUCUGGGCAUUACCUGACGCUGAGGAGCGAAAGUGUGGGGAGCGAACAGGAUUAGAUACCCUGGUAGUCCACACCGUAAACG